GCAGACAGACAGGUAGACACACACACACACGCAGACAGACAGGUAGACACACACACACACGACACAGACAGACAGGUAGACACACACACACACGCAGACAGACAGGUAGACACACACACACACGCAGACAGACAGGUAGACACACACACACACACACACACACACACAGACAGGUAGACACACACACACAGACAGGUAGACACACACACACAGACAGGUAGACACACACACACACACACAGACAGGUAGACACACACACACACACACAGACAGGUACACACACACACACACACAGACAGGUAGACACACACACACACACAGACAGGUAGACACACACACACACA
Long non-coding RNA from Oncorhynchus tshawytscha (Chinook salmon), 344 nucleotides. The record is from Ensembl. Lineage: Eukaryota; Metazoa; Chordata; Actinopteri; Salmoniformes; Salmonidae.